CCUCCCAGGAGCAAGAAGGAGGGUGACUACAGACUCGCCACCACUCACGGUGUCGCAGUGCUCUCUGUCGGCUGUUAGGCUGCUGGCGGCCGCCUUAGUGGCAGCGGCUUCAGCAGCCUUAUAGCAGUUGUUGAGCAGGUAAGGCCAUGCUUCUUCACACAGUGAUCUUACGGGUCCCGGCAUUGAGAAAGGACAAGCCCCAAAGUACAAGUACUUUCAAGAUUGUGAUUGAAUCACAUCAGUCAAAGCAAGUCACAUGGUCAAGCCUAGGAGAAGAUUAGCCAAGGACAUGGAUACAGAGAGGUGUUCAUUGGAGAGAAUUUGAAGUCGCUCAAGGUUGGAGAGCAUCAGACUUAAGGUACCCGUUCAUUUGCAAGUCAUGGCUGGAGCCACAAGAGGGCGCACUCUCAUCAAAGACCGUACAAAGUUCUGAAACUAAAAUACUGUUAACAUUUUUUGAAAUCUAACAAAAAAAAGAACUUCCAAACAUCUUUUGCAACACCAGCAUGGUAUCCUGGCAUUCUUUUCAUUUAUCUUAUGUCUGCUUACUUUACUUUUAGGAUGAGAAGAUAUAGUCUGUGGUCUGCACCGCGGCUGUCAAAAAUAUUGGCUUUUCUGGGCGCCUGGGUGGCUCAGUUGGUUAAGCGACUGCCUUUGGCUCGGGUCAUGAUCCUGGAGUCCCGGGAUCGAGUCCCACAUCGGGCUCCCUGCUCAGCA
Long non-coding RNA from Zalophus californianus (California sea lion), 717 nucleotides. RefSeq lists it as uncharacterized. The record is from RefSeq and is a predicted model, not a curated record. Lineage: Eukaryota; Metazoa; Chordata; Mammalia; Carnivora; Otariidae. The transcript is spliced from 3 exons.